CCAAAAGCGCGACCAAAAGCGGCCUACUAAUUUCUCGAGCCAAAUUAGCUAUUUCUUGAUUAUUUUGCUGAAAAGCUCGGCUUGCACGAAAAAUCUUCCCAAAGAUGAUUCAAUGAUCUUAAAAUGAUUUGUGACACACCCUGACUUCCAAUUUCUGAAUUUCAUCUCAAUUCCACGGUUAAUUUCACUUUGGCACGAUACUAGCGCGGCCCAACCUACCGGGUAGCAUUUAGAAAUUUUCAUGCAUUUGACCUGUGGUUGAUCAUCUCAAGCCACAAUGUACAUCUUUGAAACAUUGGCGGCUUUCGGUUGUCGGGGUAAUCUCAAGGUUUCAAAUACGAACACAGGGUACCCAAUCGAUAGAAAAGUCGGUCCAGUAUCGAUCGACAAGAAUUGUGCGAUCUGGUGGAA
This 411-nucleotide long non-coding RNA is filed under the name Eucalyptus grandis. RNAcentral describes it as "long non-coding RNA (EGRA_LNC005483)". The record is from RNAcentral. Lineage: Eukaryota; Viridiplantae; Streptophyta; Magnoliopsida; Myrtales; Myrtaceae.